Molecule: ribosomal RNA, 195 nt
Filed under: uncultured Pantoea sp.
Lineage: Bacteria; Pseudomonadati; Pseudomonadota; Gammaproteobacteria; Enterobacterales; Erwiniaceae
Description: partial 16S ribosomal RNA
Rfam family: Bacterial small subunit ribosomal RNA
Source: RNAcentral
CCUACGGGUAGGCAGCAGUGGGGAAUAUUGCACAAUGGGCGCAAGCCUGAUGCAGCCAUGCCGCGUGUAUGAAGAAGGCCUUCGGGUUGUAAAGUACUUUCAGCGGGGAGGAAGGCGAUGUGGUUAAUAACCGCGUCGAUUGACGUUACCCGCAGAAGAAGCACCGGCUAACUCCGUGCCAGCAGCCGCGGUAAU